UCUGAGUGGUAACAGGCCCUGGUGGUGAUGUCACAGCGUAUCCCUCCUGUAUCCCUCCUAUAUCCCUCUGCCAUGGGUGCCAGCUGUGGCCCAGUUGCUUGUGGGGCCUGUAGGAGGAGGACCCAGAGAGAGCGUUGUGUCUAUCUGGGGACAUCCUGCUGCGAUGGAGAGGCUGAGAGCCCUUAGCGGUGAGGGGCAGCGGGAGGGAGGUUGGGGACUGAAGCAGGACCCUGCCCAGCAGGCUGCUUGGGGCUGCGUCUCCUGUGGAGAUUUCUCUUCAAACUGGCCAAGAGACUUGUCCCUACCAGCUCCAGCCCCCUGCAGCCAGCAGCACCGAUGCCACCUGCUCCGUUCUUUCCUUCCAGGUGUGGGCUGCUGGCCCAGACGUAAACGUCGCCAGGGCAGAGGCAGGGUGACAGGGCCUGUCCCUGAAGUGGCCCCAACCUCUGCCACUGUUGUGACUUCUCUGCUAGAGCACCUGCAAGAUGAGGAGGGUGACAGAGCGCAGACUUACUGCGAGCUGGAGAACGUCUUGUGGGGAGCUGACAGCUGCCUGCAGUGCAGUGUCAUCAACCGGCUGCUAGCAGAGGUGUCCUGGGACCUGACAGCUGACCAGGUGGGAUUGUGCUCUUGGAAGGCGAUGGGAGCAGCCUGCCAGGUGUUUGAGGGAAAUGCGGAGCAGCACAGCCAGGUUUUUCUGGCCUUGGGGCCCAACAGAGGCUCCCCAGUGGCCCUGAGGGAUCAGGCAGCUGGGGAGAAGCCUGCCUGGGCUAGGCAGGGAGCAACAGCUGGGGAGCUGCUCGCCUUCCUUCCCCAGGGGACCAGAGGUGGCAGCCGCCCAGACCCACGUUGUGUUGUGGGGGAGUAGGGGCCAUCUCCCCAGUGCCUCCAGAUCACAAAGUCCACUCGAGCUGAAACCCCGUAGCCAGUGCUGGCUGGUUCGCAGAUCAGGGGAUCGCAGGAUGGCUGAGGCUGGCAGGGCCCUCUGGGUCCACCUGCUCCAAGCCCUGCUCCAGCA
This 1018-nucleotide long non-coding RNA is filed under the name Anas platyrhynchos platyrhynchos (common mallard). Its description in RNAcentral is "lncRNA (ENSAPLG00000020065.1)". The record is from RNAcentral. Lineage: Eukaryota; Metazoa; Chordata; Aves; Anseriformes; Anatidae.